This 73-nucleotide transfer RNA is filed under the name Ailuropoda melanoleuca (giant panda). It matches the Rfam family "tRNA". Rfam says of the family: Transfer RNA (tRNA) molecules are approximately 80 nucleotides in length. Their secondary structure includes four short double-helical elements and three loops (D, anti-codon, and T loops). Lineage: Eukaryota; Metazoa; Chordata; Mammalia; Carnivora; Ursidae. The record is from Rfam by way of RNAcentral.
ACCUGGCUGGCUUAGUUGGUAGUGCAUGUGACUCUCGAUCUCAGGGUUGUGAGUUCAAGCCCCACAUUGGGUA